CAGCCGCCACGGUAAUACGAAGGGUGCAAGCGUUAAUCGGAAUUACUGGGCGUAAAGCGUGCGUAGGCGGUGAGUUAAGUCUGCUGUGAAAUCCCCGGGCUCAACCUGGGAAUGGCAGUGGAUACUGGCUCGCUAGAGUGUGUCAGAGGAUAGUGGAAUUCCCGGUGUAGCGGUGAAAUGCGUAGAGAUCGGGAGGAACAUCAGUGGCGAAGGCGGCCAUCUGGGACAACACUGACGCUGAGGCACGAAAGCGUGGGGAGCAAACAGGAUUAGAUACCCGCGUAGUCCCUGUCUCUUAUAA
RNAcentral lists this ribosomal RNA (301 nucleotides) under uncultured bacterium. Its description in RNAcentral is "partial 16S ribosomal RNA". It matches the Rfam family "Bacterial small subunit ribosomal RNA", at positions 509 to 809 of the family's 1533-position model. The record is from RNAcentral.